Molecule: ribosomal RNA, 96 nt
Filed under: uncultured bacterium
Lineage: Bacteria
Description: partial 16S ribosomal RNA
Rfam family: Bacterial small subunit ribosomal RNA
Source: RNAcentral
CACCGCCCGUCACACCAUGGGGAGUUUGCUGCACCAGAAGCAGGUAGCUUAACCGCAAGGGGGGCGCUUGCCACGGUGUGGCCGAUGACUGGGGUG